CCACUUUAAGAAUGUACUGCCUCUUCAUCAGAAACUGAAGUAGAUCACGGACAGUACGUGAGUCACCAGUUCGGUGCUGUCCAAUGUCCGCUCUAUUUAAGAGGGUGUGCCCACAUCAGCAAUACGUGCUGAACAAUGAAAAAGAUCAAAGGUUUAAUGCAACGUGAUCAGGAAAGACAGGUCACGGAUAGUGCAUGAGCCGCCAGUUCUACUGGCCACGUAUUUGAUAUUGUGUGCCCACUGCAAGCUGCCACAUGUACGGUAACACAAAGUUCAUCAACAAUUUAAUAAAGCAAUGCAAUGCAUCCUACGUACGACCAUUAUUUGAGAGCACAGAGUCCUCAAAUCAAGUAGUAGCUCUUCUCAUCUUUUUUUGUGUCCUUUUGCAGACUUGAUUGACCGAAAGAAAAUUCAAUUGAUAGCUAGGCUCCAGAUUCCAGAACAGCACUAUGCGUCGUGUGCCUUCAGGGGCAAUAGCCGCUAGUGGAAGCAUUUAUUAAAAGAAAACUAAGUUAUAGAACACCGAAACCCUUUCUCCUAGCAAGUUGUUUCAUUUAAAUUUUGAGCCUCCUCACAAAGCAUAUGGGAAGUUCCAUUCCAUGGCAUACUUGUAAAAAGAAAAGUUCUUGUUCAAAUUAUUCCUCUUCCUUGUCUGCCCCCUUUCCAAGAAUGCAAUGCAUGCAGAUGCAGUAAACUUUGUAAAAAUUAUGCCACAAAUGUGCAUGAAAGCACUUUUAUCUGUCAUAGUAGAUCUUAUUACAUAUUUUUAUUAACUUUAUUAAAAUAUACUAUCCUGGUCUUAAAAUAGAAGUCAUAAUUUGACUAAGGUGGUUUUCAAGAUCAUACUUUGGCCACUAAUUUCUCUUAUAAUAUAUAAUACAAUUUUUAUAUAUUAGAAAUUUAUUUCUAAAUAUGAAAUGUAAUGUAACCGCUUUUGUACUAUAGACUUUUCAUAUAAUUAGGCUAGAUAAUAAAACUUAUUAAAUUUUGAAAUAUAUGUAUGCCUUGUUCUUCGGGGCCGAGGGAGUAACCGUUUGGAUCCCAAGACUAAAAUUAGCCUAUCUUAUGACAAUAGGUUUUAAACAUGGGCUAAUGUUUUAACCACCAAUUAGCUCUAUUAGCUAUUAUUAGCCAAAAAAUAGCCCAUGUUUAGUCAUUCUCUUUUGGCAUACAAAAAUAGAGGCUAACUGUUAGCCCCUUGUAUCAAACAGGCCCUAGCAAAUGAUAUGAAUGAAUGAAGUUCAUUAAAGACAAUGACAUGCUAAAAGACAAUUAAAAGUGAACAAAGCUACAAUGAUACGCUAAAAGGCAAGUAAAAGAACAGAUAUAGGUACCUCCAUUUACCCCAGGUACAUAUCUUGAGAAGCUGAGAUUAGUCCAGUAUAAGAUCAGCCAUUAGGUAAACUAUAAUUUCUUUUUCAUGACCGUGUCUAAGUGAAUUUUCCAUAUUAAGAGGAAAAGAGGGUUAGAACACACAUGGACUUAGUAAGCCAAGGCUUACCAGGACCAACACGAUCCCUGCAAGACUAGUCUAAGGGAUCAAGCAAAGUUUACAAUUAAGCAGUUACAUACCAACAAUUAGUGACCGAACAACUAAUCGAAUAUUAACCACUCUAAGAGAAGCAGCAAACAUAGAGACACAAAUAGCUGCAAAAUGCAGAGGCACUAUAAACAUUCAUAAAAACAAAACCAACAUAGGAGGAAUUGGCACUAUAAUCCUUCGUUGACUUUAGUAUCUUAAUAUCGGGCAGCAGUAUAUGGAUAGCGUAGCCUCCAGUAGUAUGUAAUUAGCUUAUGUAACAGUAGGGGUGGCACGGAGCCAUUUUUGUGCUCUGGGCAAUAGGGGUUGGGGCUGGCACAACCUGUGCCAGGAAAAGCCUCUUUCUUGUAAUUACACUAUCAAGCUCUUAUUAAUGAAAGCCGGGAUUCCGGAUCUUUCGAAAAAAAAAACUUUAGUAUCUCAAAGCAUCAGUACUCAGUAGUAUUCACUAAUUGACAGUUGCUCAAAAUGCCAUAUUAUUAAUAAGUUCUGGUAGCAUUUAACUAAGAAAAACAACAAUUGGAAUGAUCAAUAUGGUUGGUCAAAACACAUUGACACCUUGCCGAUAUCUGAAAAUAAGUUGAAAGACAGAGCAAGGUACCUUUAUUUAGAGCCUUUUAUACUCCAGAAUCCAGAGCACUAGUAGUGCCUGCUGAGCCACAGUCAUUUCAAUGAGGGUGUUUUAUGUGAAAUGGCUGAAAAGUCCUGCUUCAAUGCGUUAGUAAUCAUUAACAGUGCCUUCCUGUCCUAACCAAUAAUGCAAAGUCCUUGAUUACCUCAUCCUGUAUCCUCCUACGGUUCAGUGAAACAUACCAGUAUCCCCAUUUCAUCUUGAUACCAUAGACAAAUGCAGAUUCAACCAUACUUUUUCGAUCAUUACGUCUGCUGAGCCAUUGCAUGUAAAUGUAUUAUAAUGAGCAGGCGAUCCCUUGCCAUCCUGUGGAACAGUCCAACACCAACCUAGAGCAUCCCUGAAACGCAAAUUCAGAGCAAACGAGAAGUGCUUGCUAUAUAAAUUUGCUCAGGAGUCAGGAAUCCCAUAGUCCAGCUAUUGUGACAGAGUGCAGAUUGGCAGUACAUCUGUAUAUGCACACACUUCUG
This 2641-nucleotide long non-coding RNA is filed under the name Sorghum bicolor (sorghum). Its description in RNAcentral is "long non-coding RNA (SBIC_LNC001730)". Lineage: Eukaryota; Viridiplantae; Streptophyta; Magnoliopsida; Poales; Poaceae. The record is from RNAcentral.